This is a long non-coding RNA of Hemicordylus capensis (graceful crag lizard), 624 nucleotides long. RefSeq lists it as uncharacterized. Lineage: Eukaryota; Metazoa; Chordata; Lepidosauria; Squamata; Cordylidae. The transcript is spliced from 4 exons. The record is from RefSeq and is a predicted model, not a curated record.
AGCUCUUCAGUUCAGUCUCAUUUGGGGGCAGCUGUGUGAAAGCAGCUCUUCAAUCCAAGGCAGCAGCAACUACAGAAGCCUCUCCGUCACAGCAAGAACCACUGUGUAAGAAGCCACUCAAUCCCAUGCACACCACUUAUUCUGGAGGCAGUGGUACUCAAGAGGGAGAAAGGUCCUAGAUAGUCCUUUUGCUGUGUGAACCUCAGGUUUUGUAACGAGUUUCUGAUAUCAUGCAAGACUCUACGCAGCUGCAUUUCAACAGUGGAGGGUGAACUGAUUGAGUGAGGCUGGUGGGUGUGUCCAAUGUUCCUCGGUGAGAAAGAACAGCCAAAAGGAGAAGGUGUGUCGUAUUUGUAAGUAAAAGAAGGAGGGCUACACAAAGUCUGCUUGCCUGGACCUAGCUGGACAUUCACAGAGGAGACAACUCUCACGGGGUUUAGUAGUGUGGUUGGGAGGGACUGGGAACGUCUCAGGGGGUAACCCAGCUCAGCAAUUCGAUGUCUCUGCCUGAAAAGAAGGUCUUUGGAUUUGAGAAGAGUGCGCCCAGCUCUGGAAUCUGAUGAUCCACUGAUCCUCCUCUGGGCCCUUUGCAAGGCGAUGUUAACUCGCUCUGCUGAGGAAGGG